AUCUUUGCUAAACCAACGUGUGAAUACCCUGAGACAAAUCUGUGAUGGUGUGUGUGUGUACAGAUGUCAACAUGAGUUUGUCUUUUCACCUGUCUGCUGAAUAACUGAUAAACCCAAAGCGCUCCCUGUAUCAUAGACCUCCCAGCUGAAUAACUGAUAAACCCAAAGCGCUCCCUGUAUCAUAGACCUCCCAGGUGAAUAACUGAUAAACCCAAAGCGCUCCCUGUAUCACAGACCUCCCAGGUGAAUAACUGAUAAACCCAAAGCGCUCCCUGUAUCACAGACCUCCCAGGUGAAUAACUGAUAAACCCAAAGCGCUCCCUGUAUCACAGACCUCCCAGGUGAAUAACUGAUAAACCCAAAGCGCUCCCUGUAUCACAGACCUCCCAGGUGAAUAACUGAUAAACCCAAAGCGCUCCCUGUAUCACAGACCUCCCAGGUGAAUAACUGAUAAACCCAAAGCGCUCCCUGUAUCACAGACCUCCCAGCUGAAUAACUGAUAAACCCAAAGCGCUCCCUGUAUCACAGACCUCCCAGCUGAAUAACUGAUAAACCCAAAGCGCUCCCUGUAUCAUAGACCUCCCAGGUGAAUAACUGAUAAACCCAAAGCGCUCCCUGUAUCAUAGACCUCCCAGGUGAAUAACUGAUAAAC
Long non-coding RNA from Oncorhynchus keta (chum salmon), 652 nucleotides. RefSeq lists it as uncharacterized. The transcript is spliced from 3 exons. Lineage: Eukaryota; Metazoa; Chordata; Actinopteri; Salmoniformes; Salmonidae. The record is from RefSeq and is a predicted model, not a curated record.